ACCGCCCAAGAGUUCAUAUCGACGGCGGUGUUUGGCACCUCGAUGUCGGCUCAUCACAUCCUGGGGCUGAAGCAGGUCCCAAGGGUAUGGCUGUUCGCCAUUUAAAGUGGUACGCGAGCUGGGUUCAGAACGUCGUGAGACAGUUCGGUCCCUAUCUGCCGUGGGCGUUUGAGAUUUGAGGGAAGCUGCUCCUAGUACGAGAGGACCGGAGUGGACGAACCUCUGGUGUUCCGGUUGUCACGCCAGUGGCAUCGCCGGGUAGCUAUGUUCGGACAGGAUAACCGCUGAAAGCAUCUAAGCGGGAAGCCCCUCCCAAGAUGAGAUCUCACUGGGACACUAAGUCCCCUGAAGGGCUGUUGAAGACUACAACGUUGAUAGGCACGGUGUGGAAGCGCAGUAAUGUGUGAAGCUAACGUGUACUAAUUGCCCGUGAGGCUUGACCAU
RNAcentral lists this ribosomal RNA (444 nucleotides) under Candidatus Methylobacter titanis. RNAcentral describes it as "Bacterial large subunit ribosomal RNA". It matches the Rfam family "Bacterial large subunit ribosomal RNA", at positions 2487 to 2925 of the family's 2925-position model. The record is from Rfam by way of RNAcentral. Lineage: Bacteria; Pseudomonadati; Pseudomonadota; Gammaproteobacteria; Methylococcales; Methylococcaceae.